GGCGAGAGAGAGAGAGAGAGGGGGGGAAGAGAGAAGAGAGAGGAAAACAGAGGGAGAGAGCUCCACCCACCGGCGCCAUCACCGGUGAUGGCGAGGGUUUUGCGACGGUGACGGUGACCUUGCGACGGUGAUCUUGCGACGGUAGCGGGAUUGUAUAUAGAAAUGGGGGGAGAAUAAAGUAAUUCAGGCAUUUGGAUAUUGUUGCGAUCAACUUGGCUUCGCGAUCUCAAUCUCUCUCUCUCUCUCUCUGCGCCGAGGCGAAGAAGACGCCGGAGACGAUCAAAUAUUUGUCUGUAUGAUGUAUAUGUAUUCAUAUAAGCCUCUUGAUACAGGCGAUGCAUGUGGAAGUAGCCGUCAAGAACGUGAAAGUGUUAGAAAUUAUAUAUAUUUACUGUGUGUGUUUAGAUAUUGUAAACACCAAUUUGUGUGUUUAGAUAUUGUAAUAGUAUAUCUGGUUUUGAUGAUGAUGAUGAUGUUUUGGUUUGAA
Molecule: long non-coding RNA, 487 nt
Organism: Camellia sinensis
Lineage: Eukaryota; Viridiplantae; Streptophyta; Magnoliopsida; Ericales; Theaceae
Source: RefSeq, a predicted model, not a curated record